UAAUGGCUCAUGAGCGUACAUCAUUGAUC
This 29-nucleotide small RNA is filed under the name Bombyx mori (domestic silkworm). RNAcentral's name for it is "ovarian small RNA-19795". The record is from RNAcentral. Lineage: Eukaryota; Metazoa; Arthropoda; Insecta; Lepidoptera; Bombycidae.